UCCUGGCUCAGAACGAACGCUGGCGGCGUGGCUAAGACAUGCAAGUCGAACGGACCAUUAAUUUAUUAAUGUUUAGUGGCGAAAGGGUUAGUAAUGAAUAGGUAACGUACCCUGUGCAUCAGGAUAGCGUCAGUUGCUUCGGCAACUUUCCGAAAGGGGCGGUAAUACUGAAUAAUGUCAUCUUACGAUAGUGGGAUGACCAAAGAUUUAUCGGCAUAGGAGCGGCCUAUUUCCUAUCAGCUUGUUGGUGAGGUAAUAGCUCACCAAGGCUAAGACGGGUAGCGGGACUGAGAGGUUGACCCGCAACAUCGGGACUGAGACACUGCCCGGACCUCCACGGAGGGCUGCAGUAACGAAUAUUGCGCAAUGGGCGAAAGCCUGACGCAGCGACGCCGCGUGUAGGAGGAAGUCCCUCGGGAUGUAAACUACUGUCAGGGUAAAGAAAGUUCGCUCCGGCGAAUUGAUCUACCCCAGAGGAAGUCACGGCUAACUUCGUGCCAGCAGCCGCGGUAAGACGAAGGUGGCAAGCGUUGUUCGGUAUCACUGGGCUUAAAGCGUAUGCAGGCGGAAUGGACAGCGUCAUGUGAAAUCCCUCAGCUCAACUGAGGAAUUGCAUGGCGAACUGCCAUUCUUGAGGCAAGUAGGGGUGCAUAGAACUCUUGGUGGAGCGGUGGAAUGCGUAGAUAUCAAGAGGAAUGCCGAUGGAGAAAUCAGUGCACUAGGCUUGUCCUGACGCUCAGAUACGAAAGCGUGGGGAGCGAACGGGAUUAGAUACCCCGGUAGUCCACGCCGUAAACGAUGUCUACUAGGUUGUGGUGGUUCUGACACCGGCACGGCCGAAGCAAAAGUGUUACGUAGACCGNCUGGGGAGUACGGUCGCAAGGCUAA
Molecule: ribosomal RNA, 888 nt
Filed under: uncultured organism
Description: bacterial SSU rRNA
Rfam family: Bacterial small subunit ribosomal RNA
Source: RNAcentral